UCACACAGAAAGAAAAAAAUCAAAUACGCAAGAAAAGUUAGAAUCUGUAGGAGAGAGAGCAAACAUGCCUGAGCAAGUAAGAGGUAUGAUGAUCUUCACUUCACCUCCUCCUUUGUUCCCCAUAGCCUAAAGAGGAAAGCCUCAGCCUCCUAUUAACCGGCCCAUCACAUAAAGAUUCCGAGCCCAGCUUGAUUUCUUAUUAACCGGCCCAUCAUCCGAAGCUUCCGAGCCCAAGCCCAGCUUGAUUUCCUUAGGUAUAAAAUUUCUUUAAUUAGUCUUUUUUUUUCCCUCCUGAUUUUUUUUUUUCAAAUGUUUUUGUUUUAGUCAAAUCCAAAAAUUAUCACUCUCUUUUAAAUGUUUUUGUUUUGGGGAGAUUGUAUAUUUACUUGAUGGACAAUGGAAGAAGCUUAUGUGUAUAUUCAUAGUGUGAAAACAGUUAGAAACUAGCGUCCUGUCCUUUGAUCGUUAGAGAGGUUAAGGUUCCAUUUGACUUUACACUUAUGAGAUCACUUUGUUAUUCCUAAUCAAAUCUUGGCACAAUAUACAGUUUCCCCUCGUGUUUUUUUUGGUUAAAAACAGUAUCAUCUUUUGUAUUUGCAUGUUUAAAAAAAAAAAAAAAUCUUCAACGUAAAUGCUUGCUUGUUUGCAAUCAUGGUGUGCAUGUUUGAUUGUUUGUUUCUUUGCUGGCGAGAUUGGAGAUGGUCAGGAGGAUUUUGAGAAGUGAAAGGUGAUUGAAGUAGGAUGUCAAUGAAGAUGGUUCGUAACUCCAUUGAUGUCACUUAAAAGGUAUACACUAAGCUCAUCAAUACAUUAACACUAAAUUACUCCAUUGAAGAAGAACUAAAUUACACUAGGAGGUUGGUGUGGAAUCUAGGUCGUAUUGAACUUAUCUUGUAAAUGUGUAUAGUGUCACUCUCGUAUAGUGAAGUGGUUCGCAGUUAAGUAAACAUUGAAUUAGGGAUUAAACCAAACCAAGCAUUGAUUACAUUACAUGAUUAGCUACUCUAACUGUAAAGUAGUGAAACUUGUAGUUCUCAUUAGUAGAUACCUUGGGUGUUCAACUUGUUGCCGUAUGGAAUCUUAUGGAUGCUUUGAACUAAUGUUUUAUUACAUAACUAGUAUUAGUAUACUCGUCUAAGAAUUUUUCAAUUAGUUUCCCUAGCACUUUUGCGUAGAAGUUGGAUCCAUAACCAUAACUAGAUGAUGCUCAUAUUGGAAAUUAAAUUAGCCAUAGCUAGAUAUUUCAUAUCCUCGACAGUAUAACUUCGAUAGUAUAAUUUGGUAGUUCUAGUUUCCUCAAAUGUUGUGCAUUCAGUUUGAUCUCUUGCAUUUAAUAUUGUUGGUUUUGUUUCAGGAAGUGAAAGAACAUACAUUAGAGGCAAGGAGUCAGCAAAUGGAGGCCAGAACUUGAAGAAGAGUAUGAAGAUCGUGAAGAAGUCUUACUCUCUAAUAAUCUCCAACGUCAAGUUCUUAUCUGAUUCAUUACAUUUAGGAUUGUACUCCUUGAUGACAACUUCUGUAUCAAUUUAACUCUAAAUCAAGUUGACCUUUCUACUUUGUAAAAUCAAAUUAUUUGUCGUCUUUUUUUUUUUGUAAGUAUAUAUCUCUAAAUGUUGUGUGUAUUUUUAAAUCAAGUACUUUGUAAUUUUACAGUUUAAAUUAGUUGAAAUUUUACAAUUUUAUUACUCAAAAUAAACAGAUACACAAAAUCUCAAUUGUUCAGAAAAGAAUAAAAAGAAAC
Molecule: long non-coding RNA, 1741 nt
Filed under: Brassica napus (rape)
Lineage: Eukaryota; Viridiplantae; Streptophyta; Magnoliopsida; Brassicales; Brassicaceae
Description: long non-coding RNA (BNAP_LNC001043)
Source: RNAcentral